RNAcentral lists this ribosomal RNA (253 nucleotides) under uncultured bacterium. Its description in RNAcentral is "partial 16S ribosomal RNA". It matches the Rfam family "Bacterial small subunit ribosomal RNA", at positions 524 to 776 of the family's 1533-position model. The record is from RNAcentral.
UACAGAGGGUGCAAGCGUUGUUCGGAAUUACUGGGCGUAAAGCGCACGCAGGUGGCUGAGUCAGUCGAUUGUGAAAGCCCUGGGCUUAACCUGGGAAUUGCAGUCGAUACUACUUAGCUAGAGUAUGGGAGAGGGCAGUGGAAUUCCCGGUGUAGCGGUGAAAUGCGUAGAUAUCGGGAGGAACAUCAGUGGCGAAGGCGGCUGCCUGGCCCAAUACUGACACUCAGGUGCGACAGCGUGGGUAGCAAACAGG